This 651-nucleotide ribosomal RNA is filed under the name Triticum aestivum (bread wheat). RNAcentral's name for it is "partial small subunit ribosomal RNA". Lineage: Eukaryota; Viridiplantae; Streptophyta; Magnoliopsida; Poales; Poaceae. The record is from RNAcentral.
AUGCCGCCGCCGCACACCACCGCGCCCUCCCCUCACCUUGGCCCCAAGUCGGGCAGUGCGAGGCGGCGCUUCCAGACCGCGAUGGCCGCAACCUUGCCCACUCCGAUCUGGAUCCAUGGUGCACUCCUUCCUCCCUCUGGAUCGAUGGCCGCAGCCUCGCCGAUGGAUCCAGCGCCUGCCGGAGACGAGGGCUGCCAGAUCCGCGACCUGGGACGCUCCUCCUGUAGGAUACGGGAGCAGCACACCGCACCCUGCAGUCGUCGGUCCGGGACGAGCGCAGCAGCUCGAGGAAGCCGGCGACAAACGCCGGCGCUCCUCUGCUCCAUCGACCUGGACGGCUGCUACUCCGCCAAAGACGCCGCCUACAGGUUCGCCAACUCCUCUCAGCUCUUGCGCAUGUGCUCUGCUCCAUCAACGGUUGCAACUAUUCCUAAUUUUUUGUUCUUGUUCGAUUUGGAUUUGGAUGCAGGAGGUGCUCUACUCUUGCGCAUGUCUGGUGGCGUCUCCGGCGCAGUGGUACUUCUUGAGGUCCGGCUUGUGGGGAUUGUCAGCGGCAAGGCAGAGCGGAACACGGACGUGUCCUUCACGCUCGACGACGGCACCGGCCGUAUCGACUUCAUCAGAUGCCUGGAGCAGAAGGUGAUUCCCUAA